Molecule: non-coding RNA, 416 nt
Organism: Cicer arietinum (chickpea)
Lineage: Eukaryota; Viridiplantae; Streptophyta; Magnoliopsida; Fabales; Fabaceae
Source: RefSeq, a predicted model, not a curated record
UAAAAAGAGAACAAAAUAUGACUGAAAUUCUCAUGUUCUUUUUGGUGUUAUGGUAUGUUUUCCUUGCUUUUGUUGUAAGUGGUGUAAAUGCUGGACAAUCUAUUCCUUGUGAAAGGGAUAAAGACUGCCUUAUGAUAUUAUGUUUACCUUUCUAUGUGCAUUGUCUUAAUCGUCAAUGUUUGUGCCAUUGAAUCGCUCUAGUUAAGUUAAGAAUUAAUAGUACGUUAAUAACUUGUGUCAAAAGCUUAUAAAUUUAUUAAAAAUCUUAAUAUUGUCACUCUUAUAUUAUAAGUUUGAGUGAAAUAUAUUUUGUUUUUCAUAAUGGGAAUGAUUUGAGUAUUAGCUUCAUUUAUGUUCUUAAUUUGAUUAGAACAUGUCUUUCUUUUAAUCAAAGGUAUCCUAGGUUAUUUUUGAAA